Molecule: long non-coding RNA, 1554 nt
Filed under: Salmo salar (Atlantic salmon)
Lineage: Eukaryota; Metazoa; Chordata; Actinopteri; Salmoniformes; Salmonidae
Description: lncRNA (ENSSSAG00000087094.1)
Source: RNAcentral
GGAAAAUUACAAUUGUCCCAGAAUAGGGCAGCACGGCGUUCUCUUAAAUGUACACAGAGGGCUAACAUUAAUACUAUGCAUGUCAAUCUCUCCUGGCUCAAAGUGGAGGAGAGAUUGACUUCAUCAAUACUUGUAUUUGUGAAAAGUAUUGACAUGUUGAAUGCAGCGAGCUGUCUGUUUAAACUACUAGCACACAGCUCAGACACCCAUGCAUACCCCACAAGACAUGCCACCAGAGGUCUCUUCAAAGUCUCCAAGUCCAGAACAGGCUAUGGGAGGCACACAGUACUACAUAGAGCCAUGACUACAUGGAACUCUAUUCCACGUCAAGUAACUGAUGCAAGCAGUAAAAUCAGAUUUAAAAACCAGACAAAACUACACCUUAUGGAACAGCAGGGACUGUGAAGAGACACACACAUGCAUACACACACGUACAGUACACAUGGAUAUUAUGUUGUAGAUAUGUGGUAGUGGCCUGAAGGAACACAGUGUUGUGAAAUGUAAUGUUUUUAGAACUGCCUUAAUGUUCCUGGAGCCCAGGAAGAGUAGCUGCUGCCUUGGCAGGAACUAAUGAGGAUCCAUAAUAAAACCCAGGAAGAGAAGCUGCUGCCUUGGCAGGAACUAAUGGGGAUCCAUAAUAACCCCAGGAACAGUAUCUGCUGCCUUGGCAGGAACUAAUGGGGAUCCAUAAUAACCCCAGGAACAGUAGCUGCUGCCUUGGCAGGAACUAAUGAGGAUCCAUAAUAACCCCCAGGAAGAGUAGCUGCUGCCUUGGCAGGAACUAAUGGGGAUCCAUAAUAAACCCCAGGAAGAGUAGCUGCUGCCUUGGCAGGAACUAAUGAGGAUCCAUAAUAAACCCCAGGAAGAGUAGCUGCUGCCUUGGCAGGAACUAAUGAGGAUCCAUAAUAAACCCCAGAAGAGUAGCUGCUGCCUUGGCAGGAACUAAUGAGGAUCCAUAAUAAACCCCAGGAAAAGUAGCUGCUGCCUUGGCAGGAACUAAUGAGGAUCCAUAAUAACCCCAGGAAGAGUAGCUGCUGCCUUGGCAGGAACUAUUGAGGAUCCAUAAUAAACACUAGUACAAAUACAUGUUGUUCAACUCUGUGCUGGUGGUUGUUGUGGCAACCCUGAAGGAGGAAAUGGAGAAGAGGUCUCACUUUUACUUGCUGUCCUACAACAGGUACCUCAGUGGUGAUCAUUGUGUGUGUGAGUCUGGCUGUGUUGGUGUUUGCUGUCAUCACCCUCAUAUUCUACAGGUGCUGACGACGCAACAAGGCUCUAGGGUCAAUCUCGAACAGGCCUGAUGCAGACACAGGAAGCACUGAAGAGGUUGAUGAUGAGGAAGAUGGUGAUGAUGAAGAAAAUAUAACUUCCACCCACAAUGCAGCGGCCCCUCAGCCCGUGUCUACCGCUGACCCAGAAUGCAUUGCUCAUGUCCCCGCCCUCUACCAAUCAGCCUUUUAAGCACUCGACCCUAAAGCAUUGGACCAGAACCUCAACAAUAUCACAACUACUAACUCCGGAUAGACUGUAGCACAGAGAUCCUAAUAAAAUCUG